CCAGACUCCUACGGGAGGCAGCAGUGGGGAAUAUUGCACAAUGGGCGAAAGCCUGAUGCAGCAACGCCGCGUGAAGGAAGAAGGGUUUCGGCUCGUAAACUUCUAUCAACAGGGACGAAAGAAAUGACGGUACCUGAAUAAGAAGCCCCGGCUAACUACGUGCCAGCAGCCGCGGUAAUACGUAGGGGGCAAGCGUUAUCCGGAUUUACUGGGUGUAAAGGGAGCGUAGACGGCAGUGCAAGUCUGGAGUGAAAGGCGGGGGCUCAACCCCCGGACUGCUCUGGAAACUGUACGGCUGGAGUUGGAGAGAAGUACGCGGAAUGCGCGGUGUAGCGGCGAAAUGCAUAGAUAUCGCGCAGAACCCCGAUUGCGAAGGCAGCGUGCCGUGCCGCCACUGACGCUGAGGCACGAAAGCGCGGGGAUCGAACAGGAUUAGAUACCCCAGUA
Molecule: ribosomal RNA, 447 nt
Filed under: uncultured bacterium
Lineage: Bacteria
Description: bacterial SSU rRNA
Rfam family: Bacterial small subunit ribosomal RNA
Source: RNAcentral